UCUUCCUGUUCACGGAGGAGAGCCGCCACCGCCCCUACCCCUUCCAGAGCUCGUGCUCUUCCUCUCUUCCCCGGCCCCCUCGCACCGCUGGCCGUCGGCCCCUUCCCCUUCCCCUCCCCUUCCACCCUAGCCGCCGCCGGCCUCUCCCCUUUCGCCCUAGCCGUCGCCCCCCAUCGCGAGACGGAGAACCAGCCCAUCCCCCUUUCCUCUCCAUGGUCCUCGGGAGAUGCAGCAACGGGGGCCGCCGCACCACGCCGAGACGGCCGUCCGCAGCAAGUCGGGAGCUGUGGUGUUGAAGAGGCGCCUGGAAGCAAGUGGCGACGCUGCUCCGGUCAGGGCACGAGGAUCUGUUCGCCGUCGUCGAGAAUCCACUCAAGCUCACGCAGACUACCACCGUCCUAGAGGGUUGGAUGCUACGUUUGAGACUUAGGGGGCGAGGCUGGGGAGGCUAAGGAGGAGACCAGAGAGCGGCGACCUCGAGUUGGAAGGAGCAAUGAUCGCCGAUAUCGAUAACAUGGCACUUUAUUUGAUUGGUUGGGUCACUCUCUCGCUUCUCCUCCAGUCGUGCCUCCGGUUGGCAUGUGCGCCGACAUGAAUGGCGAGGUUUCAUCUGGAUGGGGGCCGCAGUUUGGAGGUGUUGUAGAUGGGUGUUGGCGGUGCUAGGGUUCAGCUAACAAGUUUAUCGUAUGCAGACGCAAGUACAGAAGAGCACACGUUCAACUUUUGUUGCGCAGCCAUGGUU
Triticum dicoccoides is the source of this 742-nucleotide long non-coding RNA. RefSeq lists it as uncharacterized. The transcript has 3 exons. The record is from RefSeq and is a predicted model, not a curated record. Lineage: Eukaryota; Viridiplantae; Streptophyta; Magnoliopsida; Poales; Poaceae.